ACUUAAAUUGAAGAGUUUGAUCAUGGCUCAGAUUGAACGCUGGCGGCAGGCCUAACACAUGCAAGUCGAGCGGUAGCACAGAGAGCUUGCUCUCGGGUGACGAGCGGCGGACGGGUGAGUAAUGUCUGGGAAACUGCCUGAUGGAGGGGGAUAACUACUGGAAACGGUAGCUAAUACCGCAUAAUGUCGCAAGACCAA
Molecule: ribosomal RNA, 198 nt
Filed under: Klebsiella pneumoniae subsp. pneumoniae KPNIH9
Lineage: Bacteria; Pseudomonadati; Pseudomonadota; Gammaproteobacteria; Enterobacterales; Enterobacteriaceae
Description: partial 16S ribosomal RNA
Rfam family: Bacterial small subunit ribosomal RNA
Source: RNAcentral